Molecule: ribosomal RNA, 593 nt
Filed under: uncultured Sebacinales
Lineage: Eukaryota; Fungi; Basidiomycota; Agaricomycetes; Sebacinales
Description: eukaryotic LSU rRNA
Rfam family: Eukaryotic large subunit ribosomal RNA
Source: RNAcentral
UUAAGCAUAUCAAUAAGCGGAGGAAAAGAAACUAACGAGGAUUCCCCCUAGUAACGGCGAGUGAAGAGGGAAAAGCUCAAAUUUUGAAUCUGGUGUCUUUGGCGCCCGAGUUGUAAUCUAGAGAAGUGUUUUCCGUGUCGGACCGUGCACAAGUUCCCUGGAAUGGGGCGUCAUAGAGGGUGAGAAUCCCGUAUAUGGCAUGGACUCCCGAUGCAUUGUGAUACACUCUCAACGAGUCGAGUUGUUUGGGAAUGCAGCUCAAAAUGGGUGGUAAAUUCCAUCUAAAGCUAAAUAUUGGCGAGAGACCGAUAGCGAACAAGUACCGUGAGGGAAAGAUGAAAAGCACUUUGGAAAGAGAGUGAAACAGUACGUGAAAUUGUUGAAAGGGAAGCGUUUGAAGUCAGUCAUAUCUGGCGGGAUUCAGCCGGGCUUUGUCCGGUGCACUUCUCGUCCGAUGGGUCAGCAUCAAUUUCGAUCGGGGGAAAAAGACGUGUGGAAUGUGGCUGUCUUCGGGCAGUGUUAUAGCCACGCGUUGUAUGCCCCGGUUGGGAUUGAGGAACGCAGCGCNCCUAUAGGCCAGGGGCCAAAAGCCU